Molecule: long non-coding RNA, 566 nt
Organism: Solanum tuberosum (potato)
Lineage: Eukaryota; Viridiplantae; Streptophyta; Magnoliopsida; Solanales; Solanaceae
Exons: 3
Source: RefSeq, a predicted model, not a curated record
CACUAUUUCUUUUUUCCAUGAGAUUUGCUGACUGUUCUUUUUAUGUUUGUUAUUCUUAUAACUAGUUUGAACUUAACCCAAUUUCCACCAGGUAUAUGUUGCUAUAGGCAGUUGUACCUGCUAUGUUAAGAUGGUGAUGGAUGACUAUGGAUUGUCGGAAGGAGAGGCUGUGAGCUCUAAUUCUAACCUUUCUUUGUUGGAAAUUGUUACUAAAACUCAUGAGAUGCCAAAUGGUUAUCAAAAGGUUUUGAAGGAUGACAUGUUUUUGUAGCUUUGAAUUGAUGAUUCUUGAUAAGAAAAUCUUAAGAAUUAUUUGAUACCGCGAGCUAUGCUCUCUUCUAGGGUGGAUGGGGACUCACAUAAAUGAAUUGGUGCUGGAAAUCGAGGUAAAACAGAUGAGCUUAUAAGGAAGAAGAAGAGUAGAGAAGUCAUACCAGCUCUUCCAUUAUACCAUGGCAAGAAGAAGUUUUUAGGCACAAUGCCAAGCAAUUUGUCCUUUAGUGCUUGUUUGUGUUAAUAAUCAAUGAUGACAGGAGAUGUGUGCAACUAGUUAAUGUUCUUUUCCA